CAGUCGCCGCGGGAAUACGAAGGGGGCUAGCGUUGUUCGGAUUUACUGGGCGUAAAGGGCGCGUAGGCGGAAUUGUAAGUCAGGGGUGAAAUCCCGAGGCUCAACCUCGGAACUGCCUUUGAUACUGUGGAUCUUGAGUCCGGGAGAGGUGAGUGGAACUGCGAGUGUAGAGGUGAAAUUCGUAGAUAUUCGCAGGAACACCAGUGGCGAAGGCGGCUCACUGGCCCGGAACUGACGCUGAGGCGCGAAAGCGUGGGGAGCAAACAGGAUUAGAUACCCGAGUAGUCCCUGUCUCUUAUAC
This 301-nucleotide ribosomal RNA is filed under the name uncultured bacterium. RNAcentral describes it as "partial 16S ribosomal RNA". It matches the Rfam family "Bacterial small subunit ribosomal RNA", at positions 509 to 807 of the family's 1533-position model. The record is from RNAcentral.